Molecule: long non-coding RNA, 106 nt
Organism: Nomascus leucogenys (northern white-cheeked gibbon)
Lineage: Eukaryota; Metazoa; Chordata; Mammalia; Primates; Hylobatidae
Exons: 3
Source: RefSeq, a predicted model, not a curated record
CAUUUGGGUUGGUUUUAAGUCUUUGCUAUUGUGAAUAGUGCUACACUGAACAUACACAUGCACGUAUCUUUAUAAAGGAAUGAUUUAUAUUCCUUUGGGUAUAUAC